This 253-nucleotide ribosomal RNA is filed under the name uncultured bacterium. Its description in RNAcentral is "partial 16S ribosomal RNA". It matches the Rfam family "Bacterial small subunit ribosomal RNA", at positions 524 to 776 of the family's 1533-position model. The record is from RNAcentral.
UACGAAGGGUGCAAGCGUUAAUCGGAAUUACUGGGCGUAAAGCGCGCGUAGGUGGUUCAGUAAGUUGGAAGUGAAAUCCCCGGGCUCAACCUGGGAACUGAUUUCAAAACUGCUGAGCUAGAGUACGGUAGAGGGUGGUGGAAUUUCCUGUGUAGCGGUGAAAUGCGUAGAUAUAGGAAGGAACACCAGUGGCGAAGGCGACCACCUGGACUGAUACUGACACUGAGGUGCGAAAGCGUGGGGAGCAAACAGG